RNAcentral lists this ribosomal RNA (251 nucleotides) under uncultured bacterium. RNAcentral describes it as "partial 16S ribosomal RNA". The record is from RNAcentral.
CUGCUGCCUUCCGUAGGAGUUUGGGCCGUGUCUCAGUCCCAAUGUGGCCGGCCACCCUCUCAGGUCGGCCACUGAUCGUCGCCUUGGUGGGCCGUUACCCCGCCAACCAGCUAAUCAGACGCGGAUCCAUCUCAUACCGCCGGAGCUUUUCACCCGGAAGCAUGCGCUCCCGUGUGCUUAUGCGGUAUUAGCAGUCAUUUCUAACUGUUAUCCCCCUGUAUGAGGCAGGUUAUCCACGCGUUACUCACCCG